UACGGGGGGGGCAAGCGUUGUUCGGAUUUACUGGGCGUAAAGGGCUCGUAGGCGGCCAACUAAGUCAGACGUGAAAUCCCUCGGCUUAACCGGGGAACUGCGUCUGAUACUGGAUGGCUAGAGGUUGGGAGAGGGAUGCGGAAUUCCAGGUGUAGCGGUGAAAUGCGUAGAUAUCUGGAGGAACACCGGUGGCGAAGGCGGCAUCCUGGACCAAUUCUGACGCUGAGGAGCGAAAGCCAGGGGAGCAAACGGG
RNAcentral lists this ribosomal RNA (253 nucleotides) under uncultured bacterium. RNAcentral describes it as "partial 16S ribosomal RNA". It matches the Rfam family "Bacterial small subunit ribosomal RNA", at positions 524 to 776 of the family's 1533-position model. The record is from RNAcentral.